RNAcentral lists this ribosomal RNA (746 nucleotides) under uncultured Bacilli bacterium. RNAcentral describes it as "bacterial SSU rRNA". It matches the Rfam family "Bacterial small subunit ribosomal RNA", at positions 45 to 776 of the family's 1533-position model. Lineage: Bacteria; Bacillati; Bacillota; Bacilli. The record is from RNAcentral.
UGCCUAAUACAUGCAAGUAGAACGCUGAAGGAGGAGCUUGCUUCUCCGGAUGAGUUGCGAACGGGUGAGUAACGCGUAGGUAACCUGCCUGGUAGCGGGGGAUAACUAUUGGAAACGAUAGCUAAUACCGCAUAACAGUAGAUGUUGCAUGACAUUUGCUUAAAAGGUGCAAUUGCAUCACUACCAGAUGGACCUGCGUUGUAUUAGCUAGUUGGUGGGGUAACGGCUCACCAAGGCGACGAUACAUAGCCGACCUGAGAGGGUAAUCGGCCACACUGGGACUGAGACACGGCCCAGACUCCUACGGGAGGCAGCAGUAGGGAAUCUUCGGCAAUGGACGGAAGUCUGACCGAGCAACGCCGCGUGAGUGAAGAAGGUUUUCGGAUCGUAAAGCUCUGUUGUAAGAGAAGAACGAGUGUGAGAGUGGAAAGUUCACACUGUGACGGUAUCUUACCAGAAAGGGACGGCUAACUACGUGCCAGCAGCCGCGGUAAUACGUAGGUCCCGAGCGUUGUCCGGAUUUAUUGGGCGUAAAGCGAGCGCAGGCGGUUAGAUAAGUCUGAAGUUAAAGGCUGUGGCUUAACCAUAGUACGCUUUGGAAACUGUUUAACUUGAGUGCAAGAGGGGAGAGUGGAAUUCCAUGUGUAGCGGUGAAAUGCGUAGAUAUAUGGAGGAACACCGGUGGCGAAAGCGGCUCUCUGGCUUGUAACUGACGCUGAGGCUCGAAAGCGUGGGGAGCAAACAGG